UUCUUCCUGUCACGGCUCCUCAGUGACGCUUUCAUCAGUGGAGGGCAUUGAAGAUACUCCUCUCCUUUGAUCUCCAUCAAGAUCUAUGCACGGAGAGCAGAAAGAAAAGUAUAAGAGUCAUACUUGCCCGAGUUGUUCGACUUUAGACUCUGUCAUCGAGGUGAAGCUCACCUAUCGAUAGUUGACUGACUUGAUUCAGUCAGAGCUUCACUUUUCUUCUGCUUCUUUUUCUGAUCCUUUUCUUCUAUCUGGCACCGAUCAGAAGUACCCUCAUCCGUACGAAUAUAUUUGUAUGUGCUCUUCAAUAGUUCAGCAUAAGUCUGAAGGAGAGUUUUAUCUAGAGAAUAGAAAAAUUUGGAUUUCCUCAGAUUUCUCUUUAUGGCCGAUAUGACCAUAUCUUCAUUGAGGUCCCUGACUUCAGGUGUGGUCACAUUAAAGCGAGCCACAAAAUCUCUUAACAUCUCUAUCUUGUCUUGCUUAAUGGAGAAGACACUAUCUGAUGUCUGUGAUACUCUUUGACUAAUGGUGAAGUGG
RNAcentral lists this long non-coding RNA (534 nucleotides) under Elaeis guineensis (African oil palm). RNAcentral's name for it is "long non-coding RNA (EGUI_LNC011341)". Lineage: Eukaryota; Viridiplantae; Streptophyta; Magnoliopsida; Arecales; Arecaceae. The record is from RNAcentral.